UUAUUUUCAGUGAGAUAAAAGCUCUGGGAAUGAUUUUGAAAGUUCUGGAUCCCUGGGACACACCCCAAACAACUCCUGUUACAUUUCCCACCAACACUCAGGGCCAGGAGUAUAAUAUUCUUCAUAUGACAUUCUGGGUUUGGGGAUCACCUUCUAUUACACUCUGUAUUGCCAUCUGCCAUUUAGGGGCCUCCUUCAGUGCUUGCUGGGAGGUUAGGGGUGACCUACUGUACAACCUCUGUCACCAACAAUUUCAGUGCUCCUGAACAUUAGGCAGUGGUGACUAAGGUCCUGGAAAUAUACUGGGUGCAGGGAUAAUGCAAUCUGUAGAGCUUAAGUUGCUAGUGGUUUUCAAAAUCAUAGAAUCAUGUUUUUGUACUAUAGCGAAUUACCAGCACUUCCACUGCCUGAUGUUUCUUUUCUCUUUCAGUUUUCAGCCUUCAUGCAUACACCUUUUGAAGAGGAAAACAAUACACUUGUUGUCUCUCAGCCAGGGUGCCUGCAACAAACUGUGCAGCCAGAAGAGGGAAACAUGCAGACUUCACACAGAAAGACAUCUCCAGGAGAGAAUUGAACCCUGUACCAGGGAGCAGCAAAGCAGCAGUGCUAACUGCCCCAAGAAAGGUGACACUCUUCACAAACUACAAACACGAUUUUAAAGGCCUGUUGGAUUAUAGCUCUCCAGCUAAAAGGUCUGCCAUGUGUUUUUCAUUGAAAAAAGGUACCAAGAUUAUUAAGCCGUGCAUUGGCCCUUUCAAAUCUAGGUUUUUUAAUUGUGUAAAAAAUGGUUUAAUUGGAAGCAAUCCAACUGGCAUUAUGAGCGGAAAUAUUUUGAUAAAUGACUAAGAAUAUAGCGUGCAACUUUAUGAAUGCAGCAGUUACCCCCGAAUAAGACUGCAUAUAGCAUCACGCUGAAAGAGUGCGAUUUUCUUUUUACUAUAUGAGAACAUGAUGAAAUUUAUAAUGUUUUUAAACGUUUAAAUUUUUUCCUCAGAAUAACAUUUUUUCUUGCUCUGAGGUCCGCUUAAAGCCACCCAGUUUCAUAAGGCAUUAGAUUAACAGUGAUUCCAAUGUUUCUAUUUUUUUUUUUUAUUUAAUAACUGUCCGCGUGUAGCUCAAAUAAGAUCAAAUUCAAGCUGUGUGCACCGGCCAGGUGGCGUAGCGGGCAAAGUCAGUGUUGCAGCUAUUGGAAACCAGGCUCUAAGCCCUGUGGCUUAGAGUAGCCUAGAGCCCCCCCGGCACCUCUUCGCUCAGAGCGGGUUCGAAUCCAACCCGGGUACGGUCCGAUCACGCUCCACCGGCGAAGUGCGUUUUCCAGCAGCCGGGUCUGCACCGGGCCGGUAUUUUUAGGGGGGUGGCCAUUCUAGGUCACACCCCUAAGAAUGGGGAACAUUGCACGGGAUUAAAGUACUAAAAGGGGUUUACAAAACGGGGACGAAUGACGUAAUUGCAGAUAUUGGCGGCGUUUUACGUCACUGUCACUUGGCGUAAAUUCCCCACGAGUGCGGCUCUCUUCCCCUUCCACGCGUGGGUCUGAUUCAAGAUGGCGGUGCCGGCAGUUUGCGAGGUAAUGUUUCUCUUUUUAAACACUUUAAAAUGUAAUUUUUAUUCCCCAAACUGUCUAGAAUCCGUUUUUUUUUGUUUUUGAGGUUUCAUUCAGGUACGAUACUUUUCAGAAAGGUGUCCUUUUAUUGAAUGAACAGUGCAUUUCUGUGCUGUUUGAACGGGAGUGAAGUUUCUCUCGGCAAGGAGAGGAGUUGAAACCAUUUUCUUAGCCAAACCUUGUUGAAUACUAAUGCAUUUUUAUUGGUGUUGUUUUGCAGAA
Lepisosteus oculatus (spotted gar) is the source of this 1825-nucleotide long non-coding RNA. The record is from Ensembl. Lineage: Eukaryota; Metazoa; Chordata; Actinopteri; Semionotiformes; Lepisosteidae.